CCAACCUCGUCACCAGAAAACUGUGUUUGUGCCUGAAUGAGGAAUCUCAGAAUCAGUGGAUCUCUUUGCGAGAGCUUCUCUCGCUCUCUGCUCAGCCGUUCUCAGUCAGUGAGCUCUGGGCUUUAUGCUACAUGUGUCUCUCCACGCUACAGACCUACAUCGACCUCCCAGACUACCUGUGUCUGGACUCUGUGUAUGUGGGCUGUGAAGGAGAGAUGCUGUUUCUGAGACCUAAAAACUCAG
Long non-coding RNA from Cyprinus carpio (common carp), 243 nucleotides. RefSeq lists it as uncharacterized. The record is from RefSeq and is a predicted model, not a curated record. The transcript is spliced from 3 exons. Lineage: Eukaryota; Metazoa; Chordata; Actinopteri; Cypriniformes; Cyprinidae.